Schistocerca piceifrons (Central American locust) is the source of this 391-nucleotide long non-coding RNA. RefSeq lists it as uncharacterized. The transcript is spliced from 2 exons. The record is from RefSeq and is a predicted model, not a curated record. NCBI's taxonomy places the organism in Eukaryota, Metazoa, Arthropoda, Insecta, Orthoptera, Acrididae.
GUAACCACCACCAGUAUAAAGGCGGGGCCGCCAGCCCCCGGCAUCAGUCGACGGCAGCAAACCGAAGGCGACACCAUGAAGACUCUCGUGUUCCUGUUUGUGGUGCUGGCUGUGGUGUGCGUGGCUCUGGCUGUGCCGGGCCCUCUGCCCCUACCACGUCCUGGCCCAGUGCCGAUCCCUGCUGCGCCCAGGGAGACCCUGCGUGGCAGCGAGCAGGUCUACUACGGAUACGUCCCAUACGUCGUCGGCUGAGCACAAUGACAAUGGAAAACGGCUACCUAAUCGGCAUCACCGUGGACUUGAUACACACACCUUUUGGCUGAAGUUUACUAUUUCCCUAUUACAUCCGAAAUUGCCUUUAAUUCUCAAUAAAUUUUACACUUCCUAUUAA